Molecule: RNA transcript, 1782 nt
Organism: Gossypium arboreum
Lineage: Eukaryota; Viridiplantae; Streptophyta; Magnoliopsida; Malvales; Malvaceae
Gene name: SWR1 complex subunit 2
Exons: 13
Source: RefSeq, a predicted model, not a curated record
AUUGUUUUACUAUUACCCCUUCUCGCGGUAUCAUAUGGUCUUCACUUCAGUUCUCAAACUCAAACACACUAAAAGUCUCCGGCAUCAAUCCGAUCCACGCUUCCCCUUUCCGUCGUUUGUUUCUUCCAUCUAGCUUUCUUCUCCACUCUCCUCGCCGUCUUCUCCUUCUCUUGUUUCCCCCUCUUUGGCGUCACAACUGGACUUAGAACACCGAUCAGAAAGCAUCCUCCAUCUCACGUUUUCCGUUCCUAUCCGCCGGCGAAACUGGUGAAGUUUUUACCGUUGUGUCCAUGGAAACCGGUAAAGAAGAUACAGCCGUCUUCCUGGAUCGUGCUUCUCGAUCAACCAGAGGGAGAAGGAUGACGAAGUUGCUGGACGAGGAAGUUGAAGAGGACGAGAUGUUUUGGAAUCAAGAAGCUUUUAAAGAGGAGGAGAAUGAUGCCAAUUACGAAGAAGAGCCAGAGGCUGCUGAUGUGUUUGAUAGUGACUUCGAUGAAGAUGAACCUGAGCCAGAUGAGGAAGUAGAAGACGAAGCAGAUGAAAGGGUUCGCACAAAGAAGCGUCUGAUAUUUCCUGGAAAGCCUUCUUUGAAGAAAAAGAAGAAAAAGAAAGUUCAUUCAAAUUUAGAUGGCGAUUCCAAGAAUGAAAAUCUUACUCAAAAGACUUCCUCUACACAGCAUCAUGAUGCCCCUGAUGAUGCAGAAGGUGAAAGAAUUAUAAGGAAAUCUACAAGAACUUCAGUCAUUGUUAGGCAAGCUGAGCGAGAUGCGAUACGUGCUGCUCUGCAGGCAACAAUGAAGCCAAUAAAAAGGAAAAAAGAAGGUGAAGAGAAGAGGAUGACUCAAGAAGAAAUGCUUUUAGAAGCAGCACAAACAGAAAUUAUGAACUUGAGAAAUUUAGAGCGUGUUUUGGCAAGGGAGGAAGAAGUUAAGAAACGAGCAAUAAUCCACAAGGCUGUUUAUAGUGGUCCGCAGAUUAAAUAUGUGUCAAAAGAUGGUUCUUCAUAUCUAGAAUUUAGUAAAGGAUUGACAUUUCACUCAGAGCUCUCAACCACACCGCUUCCAUACCCAGAAAAGGCUAUGUGUGCUGUCACUGGAUUGCCGGCGAGGUACCGAGAUCCAAAGACUGGGCUAUGCUAUGCAACAAAGGAAGCCUUUAAAAUUAUUCGAGAACGUUUUCGAGAUGAACAUAAAAGUGCUCCCAAGAAAAUGGAUAUGGGGGUCUUGCUUGAUUCUCUGUCUGGUCACGGUUUAAUGCCCAGGCGGAAGAGGUCUCACGUAUCAAAUAGAAGUCAAACAUCACGCUUCCAGUACUUGGGGAAUUUCCGCAGAACACCACCUGAUGAUGAUGAAAGUUCAGAUUAGUUGAUAUGAUAUAAGAGAAACUUCAAGUGAAGAUUGCAUGAAGAUGUUUCUAACAUACUGUGGAUGAUAUUGAAUCAUGGGAAGCAGGGUGUGUUCCAAGAAACACUUUAUGGUGAUUUGUUCUAGACUUGGAGUUAUUCUGAGUGAGCUUGGUUUCAAGAUUGCAAGGAGUCAUGGCUACUGGCCUCGGGAGUAUUUACAGCUAGAGCGAGACUUAAAAUUGUGUGGUAGGUUUCCCAAUGUUUCAAAAUAUUCAAAUAUAUGUAGAUGUUCCAGGGAUAAUUUAACAUUAUUAAAGUAGGUAGAUAGGAGUGUAAGCUAUAUAUGCAGAUUAAAAUCCACUUUUGGCGAUGAAAUGCUUCAGCUAAAAAACUCCUUAGUUAAUUAAAUUAGAGCAUUGUUCUUACCCCCGAAAAAA